This 445-nucleotide ribosomal RNA is filed under the name uncultured bacterium. RNAcentral's name for it is "bacterial SSU rRNA". It matches the Rfam family "Bacterial small subunit ribosomal RNA", at positions 331 to 793 of the family's 1533-position model. The record is from RNAcentral.
CCAGACUCCUACGGGAGGCAGCAGUGGGGAAUAUUGCACAAUGGGGGAAACCCUGAUGCAGCGACGCCGCGUGAAGGAAGAAGUAUUUCGGUAUGUAAACUUCUAUCAGCAGGGAAGAAAAUGACGGUACCUGACUAAGAAGCCCCGGCUAACUACGUGCCAGCAGCCGCGGUAAUACGUAGGGGGCAAGCGUUAUCCGGAUUUACUGGGUGUAAAGGGAGCGUAGACGGCAGUGCAAGUCUGGAGUGAAAGGCGGGGGCUCAACCCCCGGACUGCUCUGGAAACUGUACGGCUGGAGUGCAGGAGAGGUAAGUGGAAUUCCUAGUGUAGCGGUGAAAUGCGUAGAUAUUAGGAGGAACACCAGUGGCGAAGGCGGCCUGCUGGGCUUUUACUGACGCUGAGGCUCGAAAGUGUGGGGAGCAAACAGGAUUAGAUACCCGCGUAA